GACGAACGCUGGCGGCGUGCUUAACACAUGCAAGUCGAACGGAAAGGCCCUUCUUUUGUUGGGUGCUCGAGUGGCUAACGGGUUAUUAACACGUUAGUAACCUUCCCUUUACUUUUGUAUAACUUCAGUAAACUGUGGCUAAUACCUGAUCUUAGCUCCUGCUUCAUGGUGGGGUUUGGUAAGUUUCGGCGGUUGGGGAUUGACUCUCGGCUUAUCAUCUUGUUGGUGUGGUAGUGGCUUACCAAGGCUUUGACGGGUAGAAGGCCUGAGAGGGUGACCGGCAAAAUGGGGAAGGAGAUACGGCCCAGACUCCGAAGGGAGGAAGAAGUGGGGAAUAUUGCAAAAUGGGCGGAAGAAUGAUGAAGAAACGAAGCGUGCGGGAUGAAGGCCUUCGGGUUGUAAAACGAUUUAGAAUGUGAAGAAGAGUGAGUGAAGGUAAUGGGUAAAGAAGAAACGGCUAAAUAAGUG
RNAcentral lists this ribosomal RNA (468 nucleotides) under uncultured bacterium. RNAcentral describes it as "partial 16S ribosomal RNA". It matches the Rfam family "Bacterial small subunit ribosomal RNA", at positions 28 to 507 of the family's 1533-position model. The record is from RNAcentral.